UACGUAGGGUGCGAGCGUUAAUCGGAAUUACUGGGCGUAAAGCGUGCGCAGGCGGUUUUGUAAGACAGAGGUGAAAUCCCCGGGCUCAACCUGGGAACUGCCUUUGUGACUGCAAGGCUAGAGUGCGGCAGAGGGGGAUGGAAUUCCGCGUGUAGCAGUGAAAUGCGUAGAUAUGCGGAGGAACACCGAUGGCGAAGGCAAUCCCCUGGGCCUGCACUGACGCUCAUGCACGAAAGCGUGGGGAGCAAACAGG
RNAcentral lists this ribosomal RNA (253 nucleotides) under uncultured bacterium. RNAcentral's name for it is "partial 16S ribosomal RNA". It matches the Rfam family "Bacterial small subunit ribosomal RNA", at positions 524 to 776 of the family's 1533-position model. The record is from RNAcentral.